UACGAAGGUCCCAAGCGUUAUCCGGAUUUAUUGGGUUUAAAGGGCGCGUAGGCGGGUGACCAAGUCAGGGGUGAAAUCUUUCGGCCCAACCGGAAAAGUGCCUCUGAUACUGGUCGUCUUGAGGGAGGUAGGGGUCGAGGGAACUGGUGGUGGAGCGGUGAAAUGCGUAGAUAUCACUAGGAACGCCGGUGGCGAAAGCGCUCGACUGGACCUCUUCUGACGCUGAGGCGCGAAAGCGUGGGUAGCAAACAGG
RNAcentral lists this ribosomal RNA (253 nucleotides) under uncultured bacterium. RNAcentral's name for it is "partial 16S ribosomal RNA". It matches the Rfam family "Bacterial small subunit ribosomal RNA", at positions 524 to 776 of the family's 1533-position model. The record is from RNAcentral.